RNAcentral lists this ribosomal RNA (1440 nucleotides) under Mycolicibacterium gadium. RNAcentral describes it as "bacterial SSU rRNA". It matches the Rfam family "Bacterial small subunit ribosomal RNA". Lineage: Bacteria; Bacillati; Actinomycetota; Actinomycetes; Mycobacteriales; Mycobacteriaceae. The record is from RNAcentral.
AGUCACGCUGGCGGCGUGCUUAACACAUGCAAGUCGAACGGAAAGGCCCUUUUCGGGGGUACUCGAGUGGCGAACGGGUGAGUAACACGUGGGUGAUCUGCCCUGCACUUUGGGAUAAGCCUGGGAAACUGGGUCUAAUACCGGAUAGGACUACGCGAUGCAUGUCGUGUGGUGGAAAGCUUUUGCGGUGUGGGAUGGGCCCGCGGCCUAUCAGCUUGUUGGUGGGGUGAUGGCCCCUACCAAGGCGACGACGGGUAGCCGGCCUGAGAGGGUGACCGGCCACACUGGGACUGAGAUACGGCCCCAGACUCCUACGGGAGGCAGCAGUGGGGAAUAUUGCACCAAUGGGCGCAAGCCUGAUGCAGCGACGCCGCGUGAGGGAUGACGGCCUUCGGGUUGUAAACCUCUUUCAGCUCCGACGAAGCGCAAGUGGCGGUAGGAGUAGAAGAAGGACCGGCCAACUACGUGCCAGCAGCCGCGGUAAUACGUAGGGUCCGAGCGUUGUCCGGAAUUACUGGGCGUAAAGAGCUCGUAGGUGGUUUGUCGCGUUGUUCGUGAAAACUCACAGCUCAACUGUGGGCGUGCGGGCGAUUCGGGCAGACUUGAGUACUGCAGGGGAGACUGGAAUUCCUGGUGUAGCGGUGGAAUGCGCAGAUAUCAGGAGGAACACCGGUGGCGAAGGCGGGUCUCUGGGCAGUAACUGACGCUGAGGAGCGAAAGCGUGGGGAGCGAACAGGAUUAGAUACCCUGGUAGUCCACGCCGUAAACGGUGGGUACUAGGGUGUGGGUUUCCUUCCUUGGGAUCCGUGCCGUAGCUAACGCAUUAAGUACCCCGCCUGGGGAGUACGGCCGCAAGGCUAAAACUCAAAGAAAUUGACGGGGGCCCGCACAAGCGGCGGAGCAUGUGGAUUAAUUCGAUGCAACGCGAAGAACCUUACCUGGGUUUGACAUGCACAGGACGCCGGCAGAGAUGUCGGUUCCCUUGUGGCCUGUGUGCAGGUGGUGCAUGGCUGUCGUCAGCUCGUGUCGUGAGAUGUUGGGUUAAGUCCCGCAACGAGCGCAACCCUUGUCUCAUGUUGCCAGCGGGUAAUGCCGGGGAAUCGUGAGAGACUGCCGGGGUCAACUCGGAGGAAAGGUGGGGAUGACGUGCAAGUCAUCAUGCCCCUUAUGUCCAGGGCUUCACACAUGCUACAAUGGCCCGGUACAAAGGGCUGCGAUGCCGUGAGGUGGAGCGAAUCCUUUCAAAGCCGGUCUCAGUUCGGAUCGGGGUCUGCAACUCGACCCCGUGAAGUCGGAGUCGCUAGUAAUCGCAGAUCAGCAACGCUGCGGUGAAUACGUUCCCGGGCCUUGUACACACCGCCCGUCACGUCAUGAAAGUCGGUAACACCCGAAGCCGGUGGCCUAACCCCUUGUGGGAGGGAGCCGUCGAAGGUGGGAUCG